RNAcentral lists this ribosomal RNA (465 nucleotides) under uncultured bacterium. RNAcentral describes it as "partial 16S ribosomal RNA". It matches the Rfam family "Bacterial small subunit ribosomal RNA", at positions 338 to 795 of the family's 1533-position model. The record is from RNAcentral.
CCUACAGGUGGCAGCAGUAGGGAAUCUUCCACAAUGGGCGCAAGCCUGAUGGAGCAACACCGCGUGAGUGAAGAAGGGUUUCGGCUCGUAAAGCCCUGUUGUUGGAGAAGAACGUGCGUGAGAGUAACUGUUCACGCAGUGACGGUAUCCAACCAGACAGUCACGUCUAAAUACGUGCCAGCAGCCGCGGUAAUACGUAGGUGGCAAGCGUUAUCCGGAUUUAUUGGGCGUAAAGCGAGCGCAGGCGGUUGCUUAGGACUGAUGUGAAAGCUUUCGGCUUAACCGAAACAGUGCAUCGGAAACCGGGCGACUUGAGUGCAGAAGAGGACAGUGGAACUCCAUGUGUAGCGGUGGAAUGCGUAGAUAUAUGGAAGAACACCAGUGGCGAAGGCGGCUGUCUGGUCUGCAACUGACGCUGAGGCUCGAAAGCAUGGGUAGCGAACAGGAUUAGAUACCCUUGUAGUC